CAAUAGCGUAUAUUAAAGUUGUUGCAGUUAAAAAGCUCGUAGUUGGAUUUCUGGUCGGAAGCUCCUGUCCUCUGAUGAGCGUACAAGUGCGUCCUACCAUCCUUCUGUUAACCUUUAAGGCUUUCGCGGCUUUCUAGGGGCUCAGAUAUUUUACCUUGAGAAAAUUAGAGUGUUUCAGGCAGGCUAGCGCCGGAUUACAUUAGCAUGGAAUAAUGGAAUAGGACUUUUGCCUCUUCUGUUGGUCAUGAGGCUCGAGUAAUGAUUAAUAGGGAUAGUUGGGGGCAUUAGUACUUAACUGUCAGAGGUGAAAUUCUCGGAUUUGUUAAAGACUAACUUAUGCGAAAGCAUUUGCCAAGGAUGUUUUCAUUAA
Molecule: ribosomal RNA, 370 nt
Filed under: uncultured eukaryote
Lineage: Eukaryota
Description: partial 18S ribosomal RNA
Rfam family: Eukaryotic small subunit ribosomal RNA
Source: RNAcentral